RNAcentral lists this ribosomal RNA (595 nucleotides) under uncultured Bacteroidota bacterium. Its description in RNAcentral is "bacterial SSU rRNA". It matches the Rfam family "Bacterial small subunit ribosomal RNA", at positions 122 to 715 of the family's 1533-position model. The record is from RNAcentral. Lineage: Bacteria; Pseudomonadati; Bacteroidota.
CAACCUGCCGUCUACUCUUGGACAGCCUUCUGAAAGGAAGAUUAAUACAAGAUGGCAUCAUGAGUCCGCAUGUUCACAUGAUUAAAGGUAUUCCGGUAGACGAUGGGGAUGCGUUCCAUUAGAUAGUAGGCGGGGUAACGGCCCACCUAGUCUUCGAUGGAUAGGGGUUCUGAGAGGAAGGUCCCCCACAUUGGAACUGAGACACGGUCCAAACUCCUACGGGAGGCAGCAGUGAGGAAUAUUGGUCAAUGGGCGAGAGCCUGAACCAGCCAAGUAGCGUGAAGGAUGACUGCCCUAUGGGUUGUAAACUUCUUUUAUAAAGGAAUAAAGUCGGGUAUGGAUACCCGUUUGCAUGUACUUUAUGAAUAAGGAUCGGCUAACUCCGUGCCAGCAGCCGCGGUAAUACGGAGGAUCCGAGCGUUAUCCGGAUUUAUUGGGUUUAGAGGGAGCGUAGAUGGAUGUUUAAGUCAGUUGUGAAAGUUUGCGGCUCGACCGUAAAAUUGCAGUUGAUACUGGAUAUCUUGAGUGCAGUUGANGCAGGCGGAAUUCGUGGUGUAGCGGUGAAAUGCUUAGAUAUCACGAAGAACUCCGAUUG